UAGGGAAUCUUCCACAAUGGACGCAAGUCUGAUGGAGCAACGGCCGCGUGAGUGAAGAAGGUUUUCGGACCGUAAAGCUCUGUUGUUGGUGAAGAAGGAUAGAGGUAGUAACUGGCCUUUAUUUGACGGUAAUCAACCAGAAAGUCACGGCUAACUACGUGCCAGCAGCCGCGGUAAUACGUAGGUGGCAAGCGUUGUCCGGAUUUAUUGGGCGUAAAGCGAGCGCAGGCGGAAGAAUAAGUCUGAUGUGAAAGCCCUCGGCUUAACCGAGGAAUUGCAUCGGAAACUGUUUUCUUGAGUGCAGAAGAGGAGAGUAGAACUCCAUGUGUAGCGGUGGAAUGCGUAGAUAUAUGGAAGAAUACCAGUGGCGAAGGCGGCUCUCUGGUCUGCAACUGACGCUGAGGCUCGAAAGCAUGGGUAGCGAACAGGAUUAAAUACCCUGGUAGUCCAUGCCGUAAACGAUGAGUGCUAAGUGUUGGGAGGCUUCCGCCUCUCAGUGCUGCAGCUAACGCAUUAAGCACUCCGCCUGGGGGAGUACGACCGCAA
Molecule: ribosomal RNA, 546 nt
Filed under: uncultured bacterium
Lineage: Bacteria
Description: partial 16S ribosomal RNA
Rfam family: Bacterial small subunit ribosomal RNA
Source: RNAcentral